RNAcentral lists this ribosomal RNA (465 nucleotides) under uncultured bacterium. RNAcentral's name for it is "partial 16S ribosomal RNA". It matches the Rfam family "Bacterial small subunit ribosomal RNA", at positions 338 to 795 of the family's 1533-position model. The record is from RNAcentral.
CCUACGGGAGGCAGCAGUAGGGAAUCUUCCACAAUGGGCGAAAGCCUGAUGGAGCAACGCCGCGUGGGUGAAGAAGGUCUUCGGAUCGUAAAACCCUGUUGUUAGAGAAGAAAGUGCGUGAGAGUAACUGUUCACGUUUCGACGGUAUCUAACCAGAAAGCCACGGCUAACUACGUGACAGCAGCUGCGGUAAUACGUAGGUGGCAAGCGUUAUCCGGAUUUAUUGGGCGUAAAGGGAACGCAGGCGGUCUUUUAAGUCUGAUGUGAAAGCCUUCGGCUUAACCGGGGUAGUGCAUUGGAAACUGGGAGACUUGAGUGCAGAAGAGGAGGGUGGAACUCCAUGUGUAGCGGUGAAAUGCGUAGAUAUAUGGAAGAACACCAGUGGCGAAGGCGGCUCUCUGGUCUGUAACUGACGCUGAGGUUCGAAAGCGUGGGUAGCAAACAGGAUUAGAUACCCUGGUAGUC